This is a non-coding RNA of Clostridium taeniosporum, 92 nucleotides long. NCBI's taxonomy places the organism in Bacteria, Bacillati, Bacillota, Clostridia, Eubacteriales, Clostridiaceae. The record is from Rfam.
AAAUGAUAAUGGCACACUUAUUGAAAAAUAAGGUCGCAAAGCUUAUGAGUCUAAAGGAAAGAUAUUUUUUCUAUGAUCGUCAGGUUACCAAA